Molecule: ribosomal RNA, 456 nt
Filed under: uncultured bacterium
Lineage: Bacteria
Description: bacterial SSU rRNA
Rfam family: Bacterial small subunit ribosomal RNA
Source: RNAcentral
GGACGACCAGCCACACUGGCACUGAGAUACGGGCCAGACUCCUACGGGAGGCAGCAGUGAGGAAUAUUGCGCAAUGGGGGAAACCCUGACGCAGCAACGCCGCGUGUGGGAAGAAGGCCUUCGGGUCGUAAACCACUUUUGCACGGGACGAAAAAGGGAUAUCGAACAAAUAUCCCCGAUGACGGUACCGUGAGAAUAAGCCACGGCUAACUCUGUGCCAGCAGCCGCGGUAAGACAGAGGUGGCAAGCGUUGUUCGGAAUUACUGGGCGUAAAGAGUCUGUAGGUGGUUUGUCAAGUCUUUGGUGAAAGGCCGUAGCUUAACUAUGGGAAUGCCAAAGAGACUGGCAGGCUGGAGGCUGGGAGAGGGAAGCGGAAUUUCUGGUGUAGCGGUGAAAUGCGUAGAUAUCAGAAGGAAGGCCGGUGGCGAAGGCGGCUUCCUGGAACAGUCCUGACAC